AUCUUUAUUCAAUCUCAAUAAAAAAAUACAACCAAACCUUGUAAAUAUUAACUAUAGUAAAUAAACAUAACCCAUUUUGCAAAGUAAAACAAGAUGAAACUGUCUCAAUCCAUAAUCUACACAACAUGAAUCAAAAGACUCGUACAAUUAACCAACAAUACCUAGUAUGAUGUCGGUCCUCCCUUCACUUUAAAAAAAAAAAAAUCAAAACAACCUAAAAAAAAC
This 225-nucleotide long non-coding RNA is filed under the name Lathyrus oleraceus (garden pea). RNAcentral's name for it is "Pisum sativum (pea) long non-coding RNA (PSAT_LNC020057)". The record is from RNAcentral. Lineage: Eukaryota; Viridiplantae; Streptophyta; Magnoliopsida; Fabales; Fabaceae.